UUUCAAUAAAUUGGCUAAAUGGUCAACGGAAUUUAACUCUUCAUACGGUCAAAACAAUUCACGUUGCAUGCGGCAUAUUUCGAGUGCACUUGAAAACAGAUAUUUAUCUUAUUUCAGUUUUCGGAAGUUAGCGAAAAUCUGUUCCUCUUCAUCAGACAGUGGCUCGAGUUUUCACAAGAGGCCGUGUUCACGUCGUUCACCACUUCAUCACGAGUGUAUUUGUUUUACAGUCCUUCUUUGGGUGGCAGAAUUGGCAUCUCCUCCUCUUGCCUGCCCCAGCUGCAGCCUCAGGUGGAUCAGGACAAGAUUCAGCCCCCUCAACAGCUUUCACAAGCGCUGCAGAGGCUGGUGUGGGGGGAGGCGCUCCCUCCUUUGAAUGUGUGGGGUUUACAAGUGCCUUGCCCAGCUGCUCCAGGAACACCCUCCUCUUGUUCCGCUUAUCAAGCAUCCAGGUUGUCCAUGCCUCCUUUGAUGUGGUUGUAGUCCAGGAUGACGGCUGGCUUCCUGUCCUCACGAUCACUGAUCUCAGCCGUUUUGUGCAGUGUGCUCAGGAGGACCACAUUCUUGUUCCUCUUUGGGAGGUAGGAAACUAGAGUGGUGGUGGGGGUGAAGGCAAACUUUGAUGAGAAGGCCUCUCUCCCCCUUGUUGUGAGGAUUGCAGCGAAGAGCUUGUUCUUGUUCUUUCUAGCUGUGCCAACCAUGGUGAUCUUCCUCUUCAGGAUCUGCUGGCUGAGUUCAAUCAGUAAC
Molecule: long non-coding RNA, 747 nt
Organism: Oncorhynchus tshawytscha (Chinook salmon)
Lineage: Eukaryota; Metazoa; Chordata; Actinopteri; Salmoniformes; Salmonidae
Source: Ensembl